This 433-nucleotide ribosomal RNA is filed under the name uncultured bacterium. Its description in RNAcentral is "partial 16S ribosomal RNA". It matches the Rfam family "Bacterial small subunit ribosomal RNA", at positions 29 to 507 of the family's 1533-position model. The record is from RNAcentral.
AACGAACGCUGGCGGCAGGCUUAACACAUGCAAGUCGAGCGCAUCCUUCGGGGUGCGCGGCGGACGGGUGAGUAACGCGUGGGAACGUGCCCUCUUCUACGGAAUAGCCUCGGGAAACUGAGAGUAAUGCCGUAUACGCCCGCAAGGGGAAAGAUUUAUCGGAGGAGGAUCGGCCCGCGUUGGAUUAGGUAGUUGGUGGGGUAACGGCCUACCAAGCCGACGAUCCAUAGCUGGUUUGAGAGGAGGAUCAGCCACACUGGGACUGAGACGCGGCCCAGACUCCUACGGGAGGCAGGAGUGGGGAAUGUAGGACAAUGGGGGCAAUGCUGAACCAGUCAGGCCGGGUGAUCGAUGAAGGCCUGAGGGUUGUAAAGAUAUUUCAGCUGGGAAGAUAAUGACGGUACCCGCAGAAGAAGCCCCGGCUAACUCCGUG